CACCUCUUGACAUAAUAUAAGAGGCCCAGCCUGCCCGGUGACAAAGUUUAACGGCUACGGUACCCUGACCGUACGAAGGUAGCAUAAUCACUUGUUCCUUAAAUAGGGACCUGUAUCAACGGCAUCACGAGGGCUGCACUGUCUCCUCUCUUCAAUCAGUGAAACUGAUCCCCCCGUGAAGAAGCGGGGAUUAAGCCAUAAGACGAGAAGACCCCAUGGAGCUUUAAACAAGUACUCACACUAUACUUACACGUCCCUUAACUAAAAGCCCUGAGUACAAGUUUUAGGUUGGGGAGACCGCGGAGAACAAUUAAACCUCCACGACAAACGGCCCUUAAGUCCUUAUCCACGAGCCACAGCUCUAAGAAUCAAUAAACUGAUGAUUAUGACCCGAUACUAUUCGAUUAAUGAACCAAGUUACCCUGGGGAUAACAGCGCAAUCUACUUCAAGAGUCCAUAUCGACAAGUAGGUUUACGACCUCGAUGUUGGAUCAGGGUAUCCUUGUGGUGCAGCAGCUACUAACGGUUCGUUUGUUCAACGAUUAAAACCCU
Molecule: ribosomal RNA, 552 nt
Rfam family: Bacterial large subunit ribosomal RNA